This 1324-nucleotide ribosomal RNA is filed under the name Limenitis albomaculata. RNAcentral's name for it is "16S ribosomal RNA". Lineage: Eukaryota; Metazoa; Arthropoda; Insecta; Lepidoptera; Nymphalidae. The record is from RNAcentral.
GGGGGAAAAUUAAUAAAAUAUAAAUAAUAAAAAAAUUUUUAAUAUUGGGGGGUAUUAAAGUAUUUUUUUAAAAAAAAUAAUUUAUUUUAUAGUAUAUUAGUAUUGAAAAAGAAAUUUGAAAUAAAUGAAAAUAAAAUAAUAAAAAAGUAAUUUUUAUUUAAUGUAUCUUGUGUAUCAGAGUUUAUUAAAAAAUAUUUUUUUUAAAAAAAAAUCUUGAAUUUAAAAGAGUUAAUUAAUUAUAGAAGUUAAUGUAGAAAAAUUAUUUUAAAUAAUUAAUUUGAAAUGAAAUGUUAAUCGUUUUUAAAUAUAUCUAGUUAUUUUAGAAAAAAAUUUAAUUUUAAAUUUAAAAAAUUUUAUUUUUAAUUUAUAAAUUAAAAAUAAAAUAUUUAAAAUUAAAUAUAUUGAGGGAUAAGCUUUAAUAUAAAUAUUUAUAAUAAAUUAAAUUUUAAAUAAAAAUUUUAAAAUUUAUAUUGUUUAAAAAUUAUAAUUUAUUAUGAAAAAUUUUAUUUUUAAUAAAAUUUAAUUAAAAAAUUUAAUUUUUUAUAAAAUAAUAAUAAAAAUAAUAAAAAAAUAGAAAUAAUGAUAAAAUUAGUAUAUUAUUAAAAAAUAUAAUUUAAUUAAUUAAAAUUAAUUUAAAGGAAUUCGGCAAAAUUUUAUAUUCACUUGUUUAUCAAAAACAUGUCUUUUAGAUAAUAAUUUAAAGUCUAAUCUGCCCACUGAUAAAUAUAUUAAAGGGCUGCAGUAUAUUGACUGUACAAAGGUAGCAUAAUCAAUAGUCUUUUAAUUGAAGACUUGUAUGAAAGAUUUGAUGAAAUAUAAACUGUCUCUAUUUUAAUAAUAAAAUUUAAUUUUUUAGUUAAAAAGCUGAAAUAAAUUUAAAAGACGAGAAGACCCUAUAGAGUUUUAUAUUAAAAUUAUUUAUUAUUAUAAUAUAUAUAUAUAUAAAUUAAAAAUAAAAUUAAUAUUUUGUUGGGGUGACAAAAAAAUUAAUAUAACUUUUUUUAAAUUAAAAUAUAAAUAAGUGAAUAAUUGAUCCAUUUUUUAUGAUUAAAAGAAAAAAUUACCUUAGGGAUAACAGCGUAAUAUUUUUUUUUAGUACAAAUAAAAAAAAAAGUUUGCGACCUCGAUGUUGGAUUAAGAUAAAAUUUAAAUGCAAAAGUUUAAAAUUUUGAUCUGUUCGAUCAUUAAAAUCUUACAUGAUCUGAGUUCAAACCGGUGUAAGCCAGGUUGGUUUCUAUCUUUAAAAUAAAAAAAUAUUUUAGUACGAAAGGAUCAAAUAUUUUUAAUAAUUAAAAUUUAAUGAAUAUUAAUAAUUAAUAAUUAU